GGUCCCAUAGCUCAGUUGGUUAGAGCGUCGUACUAAUAUUGUUCUGUCUUGUAUAGGAAAAUGUUAAGUAAAUGCGAAGGCCGAGAGUUCAAGCCUCUCUGGGACCA
Molecule: non-coding RNA, 107 nt
Organism: Annulohypoxylon moriforme
Lineage: Eukaryota; Fungi; Ascomycota; Sordariomycetes; Xylariales; Hypoxylaceae
Source: the annotation of a GenBank genome assembly